AGAGUUUGAUCCUGGCUCAGGACGAACGCUGGCGGCGUGCUUAACACAUGCAAGUCGAACGGUAAGGCCCUUCGGGGUACACGAGUGGCGAACGGGUGAGUAACACGUGAGUAACCUGCCCCGGACUCUGGGAUAAGCAUUCGAAAGGGUGUCUAAUACUGGAUAGGACUCCUGCCUGCAUGGGUGGGGGUGGAAAGAUUUUUUGGUUCGGGAUGGGCUCGCGGCCUAUCAGCUUGUUGGUGGGGUGAUGGCCUACCAAGGCGUCGACGGGUAGCCGGCCUGAGAGGGCGACCGGCCACACUGGGACUGAGAUACGGCCCAGACUCCUACGGGAGGCAGCAGUGGGGAAUAUUGCGCAAUGGGCGGAAGCCUGACGCAGCAACGCCGCGUGCGGGAUGACGGCCUUCGGGUUGUAAACCGCUUUCACCCAUGACGAAGAUUUUUUUGACGGUAGUGGGAGAAGAAGCACCGGCCAACUACGUGCCAGCAGCCGCGGUGAUACGUAGGGUGCGAGCGUUGUCCGGAAUUAUUGGGCGUAAAGAGCUUGUAGGCGGUUUGUCGCGUCGGAAGUGAAAACUCGGGGCUUAACUUCGAGCUUGCUUCCGAUACGGGCUGACUAGAGGAAGUUAGGGGAGAACGGAAUUCCUGGUGGAGCGGUGGAAUGCGCAGAUAUCAGGAGGAACACCGGUGGCGAAGGCGGUUCUCUGGGACUUUCCUGACGCUGAGAAGCGAAAGCGUGGGGAGCAAACAGGCUUAGAUACCCUGGUAGUCCACGCCGUAAACGGUGGGCACUAGGUGUGGGGGACAUUCCACGUUCUCUGUGCCGUAGCUAACGCAUUAAGUGCCCCGCCUGGGGAGUACGGCCGCAAGGCUAAAACUCAAAGGAAUUGACGGGGGCCCGCACAAGCGGCGGAGCAUGCGGAUUAAUUCGAUGCAACGCGAAGAACCUUACCUGGGUUUGACAUAUGCCGGAAGCAUUCAGAGAUGGGUGUGCCUUUUU
RNAcentral lists this ribosomal RNA (1000 nucleotides) under uncultured bacterium. Its description in RNAcentral is "bacterial SSU rRNA". It matches the Rfam family "Bacterial small subunit ribosomal RNA", at positions 8 to 1021 of the family's 1533-position model. The record is from RNAcentral.